RNAcentral lists this ribosomal RNA (349 nucleotides) under Enterobacter sp. AyD-006. Its description in RNAcentral is "bacterial SSU rRNA". It matches the Rfam family "Bacterial small subunit ribosomal RNA", at positions 129 to 467 of the family's 1533-position model. Lineage: Bacteria; Pseudomonadati; Pseudomonadota; Gammaproteobacteria; Enterobacterales; Enterobacteriaceae. The record is from RNAcentral.
CCUGAUGGAGCGGGAUAACUACUGGAAACGGUAGCCUAAUACCGCAUAAUGUCGCAAGACCAAAGAGGGGGACCUUCGGGCCUCUUGCCAUCACAUGUGCCCAGAUGGGAUUAGCUAGUAGGUGGGGUAACGGCUCACCUAGGCGACGAUCCCUAGCUGGUCUGAGAGGAUGACCAGCCACUACUGGAACUGAGACACGGUCCAGACUCCUACGGGAGGCAUGCAGCUGGGGAAUAUUGCACAAUGGGUCGCAAGCCUGAUGCAGCCAUGCCGCGUGUAUGAAGAAGAGCCUUCGGGGUUGUAAAGGUGACUUUCAGCCGGGGCAGGAAGUGUGUUCGUGGGUUUAAUA